This 65-nucleotide transfer RNA is filed under the name Alpheus inopinatus. RNAcentral describes it as "tRNA-Cys". Lineage: Eukaryota; Metazoa; Arthropoda; Malacostraca; Decapoda; Alpheidae. The record is from RNAcentral.
GGUCUUGUAGUCGAAAUUUAAGGCGUCAGGCUGCAAUCCUGAAGAUGUAUAAUAAACCUUGGCCU